RNAcentral lists this ribosomal RNA (497 nucleotides) under uncultured bacterium. Its description in RNAcentral is "partial 16S ribosomal RNA". It matches the Rfam family "Bacterial small subunit ribosomal RNA", at positions 28 to 507 of the family's 1533-position model. The record is from RNAcentral.
GAUGAACGCUGGCGGCGUGCCUAAUACAUGCAAGUCGAGCGAACGGACGAGAAGCUUGCUUUUCUGAUGUUAGCGGCGGACGGGUGAGUAACACGUGGAUAACCUACCUAUAAGACUGGGAUAACUUCGGGAAACCGGAGCUAAUACCGGAUAAUAUUUUGAACCGCAUGGUUCAAAAGUGAAAGACGGUCUUGCUGUCACUUAUAGAUGGAUCCGCGCUGCAUUAGCUAGUUGGUAAGGUAACGGCCUACCAAGGCAACGAUGCAUAGCCGACCUGAGAGGGUGAUCGGCCGCACUGGAACUGGGACACGGACCAGGCUCCUACGGGAGGCAGCAGUAGGGAAUGUUACGCAAUGGGCGGAAGCCUGACGGAGCAAGCCCGCGUGAGUGAUGAAGGUGUUGGGAUCGGAAAACUCUGUUAUUAGGGAAGAACAUAUGUGUAAGUAACUGUGCACAUCUUGACGGUACCUAAUCAGAAAGCCACGGCUAACUACGUG